Non-coding RNA from Algoriphagus marincola HL-49, 82 nucleotides. Lineage: Bacteria; Pseudomonadati; Bacteroidota; Cytophagia; Cytophagales; Cyclobacteriaceae. The record is from Rfam.
GCGGAUGUGGCGAAAUUGGUAGACGCACUAGACUUAGGAUCUAGCGCCGCGAGGCAUGGGGGUUCGAGUCCCUCCAUCCGCA